Molecule: ribosomal RNA, 468 nt
Filed under: uncultured bacterium
Lineage: Bacteria
Description: partial 16S ribosomal RNA
Rfam family: Bacterial small subunit ribosomal RNA
Source: RNAcentral
GACGAACGCUGGCGGCGUGCUUAACACAUGCAAGUCGAACGGAAAGGCCCUGCUUUUGUGGGGUGCUCGAGUGGCGAACGGGUGAGUAACACGUGAGUAACCUGCUCUUGACUUUGGGAUAACUUAAGGAAACUGGGGCUAAUACCGGAUAGGAGCUCCUGCUGCAUGGUGGGGGUUGGAACGUUUCGGCGGUUGGGGAUGGACUCGCGGCUUAUCAGCUUGUUGGUGGGGUAGUGGCUUACCAAGGCUUUGACGGGUAGCCGGCCUGAGAGGGUGACCGGCCACAAUGGUACUGAGAGACGGCCCAGACUCCUACGGGAGGCAGCAGUGGGGAAUAUUGCACAAUGGGCGGAAGCCUGAUGCAGCAACGCCGCGUUCGGGAUGACGGCCUUUGGGUUGUAAACCGCUUUCGCCUGUGACGAAGCGUGAGUGACGGUAAUGGGUGAAGAAGCACCGGCUAACUACGUG